This is a long non-coding RNA of Amphiprion ocellaris (clown anemonefish), 784 nucleotides long. The record is from Ensembl. NCBI's taxonomy places the organism in Eukaryota, Metazoa, Chordata, Actinopteri, Pomacentridae.
AAGUCUGACGGAAAAAGCAGCUUUUUAUCAUGAAAUAUCAGAAUCAGCUCCAACAUCUGCAUCUGACGGCAUCAAGUCAACCAGAACGAAAAGAAAAAAGAAAAUGACUUCUUUCUGAUCACAUCUGUUCCACUGCUCACAGUCUGCUGCUGCUCACAUUCUUGACAUUUAUAGUCCACUUUUAAAAGUUCACCAGACAGGUGCUCUGCUUUGGAGUGUGACGAUGUCGUCGGUGAUGUGGAGAGUGAAGUUUCCGUUUCACCCACAGCGUGCUUUAGGGCAGCCGGAGUGAAAGUAGCAGUUCCUCCUUAAGGUCAGAGAUUGCAGCAUCUGAGGGCCUCUUCAAAAGAAGACGUAGUUGAUGAAGGCGUUCUGGAGCAGGACCAGAAAGACCACGACCAAGCAGCCUUGAGAUCUUAGGCAGCGUCUCCCUCAGGUCCCUCUCUAUCUCCCCACACAUCCACCAACCACUGGAACACAUCUCCAGAGUUCUGCCGGGCCAGCUCAGCUUCCCCUCAGAAGAAGUGCCGCCACCUGCCAGAUGAAGGAGCCUUUUGAGAGGCAGCUGGCAUCGUGAUUGGACUGUACUUUGGUCUGUUCCAAUCCAGCUUCAGCUCCAGAGACGGCAGGCAGGACGAGUCAGCGGAGGCCGGGUGGACGAAGGCAUGCAGCUGAGUGGAAACAAAAAUGUGAUUUUUCAACAUGUUGUAAAAACGUGCCAUAUGAUGAAAUAAUGUAAAGGAGGGCAAGAAAAACAUUAUGGUAAGCUUUUCUUUGAAAAAAG